UUAUAAUAAAACAACGGUUUGCUAUAUAUGUACGUAUUUACCUAUAAGAAUUCGUAACAUCGGUACAAUAUAUCUGUUAAUCACAUGACCGCGGGGUGGUUGCAUGUAACAAAUCCUGAUCGUAAACUCGCUAUUUGUUUUAUCGGAAAGUAGGGAUAAAGUUGAUUAGAAAUUUUAGUAUUUUCUAUUCAGUUUCAAAUAUUCGAUUACAAAGUACCAUUUAAGUUCCUCGAUAUUUGCAAAAAUAUAGAAACGAUAUAUUAUAAAUGAAUAAAGAGUGAUAAUAUGAAACAAGAUUGAAAAUAGUGACGAUGAAUUAUUGUUUUUUCAUUUUUGAAAAAAAUAUUUAACGUUAUUAGCGAAAUGCAGUUUCUGUCGUACUCGCAAAAUAUUUAAGUUUUUAAUAUAUAAGUUCGACGAAGGAUCAUCAAUUACGUUUGCUCGAGAAUCACGUCGGGCAUGAACGAUGUCCAUUUAACGCGAGUUCCAACGAACGAUAAUAAUAAAUUAGUAUUCGCGUGCGCUUUGGCAGACGCUUGGCCAACAGAUUACCUUCGUUACCAGCUAAAUAGCGAGCGUUCAGGAAUAUUUAGAACGUACAACAGUGUGUCUCAAAUGAUCAGACUCUAAUUAAUUUGUCAACUUGUAACACAAAAACCAAUAAAUAUAUUCUUUUCCAUCCAUUUUACGAAAUAGAAACAGACAUCUUACGCAAUACUUAGUGGUUGAGCAAAGACAUUUAACACGUUGAAUGCCAUUAAUAUUAAACGGAAGAAUAUUUUCGAUAAAUGGAUACUUUUUACCGAUUUUAUGGGUUAACCAGCCGGCACGAAACGUGUUAUUGAAAUUAUUUGAAGUCAGCUACAGUACAAGCAACGAAAAAGGAACAUAAUACCUUUCGUACGAGGUGCAAUUCGCCAACGAAUAAAUUUAACAAGAAGAACUUAUAAUUCCGUUACACUGUUAUAUAAAAAAAUGCUCUUUUUUCGUACUAAAGAGAAUUGUUUCGUAUAACACAAUUUCAAUGUAUCUUAAAUUUUAGACACAUUGGAAUACACGUGGGUAUGAUAAUAUUAUAAUACAGUCUCAAAAUUGUCUACUUUCGCGGUACAUGAAAAUCGAAAAAAAUGAUUAGCGUGCGGAUCAUCUACAUAUACACACGUGCAGCAUUUUUUUAAUUUUAACGUUAAACAAACAGCAAACAAAUCUCGAUAACUUUUAUGCAUUUAUGUAUAUUCAGAUACCAUUUAUCUGCAAAUGGGCAUCGACGAGGUUCCACCAAUGUGGACUCAUGGAGAAAUUUGAAGUUCGCAAGUAUUUUUGGAAUGCUUUUCUUUUUAACCUCGUCCUUGACGAUGAAGAUUUCUCCGAUGAGCUUGAAAAAAACGCAUCUUCAAAGCAAAACGUUACCUUGAAGAUUCAAAUUCGUCUCGAAAGGUAACAUCAAGAACAUCUUUUUCAAGAUAUUCUCGAAGAUACAAAAGUCGCGUGAAGAAACCUUCUCUACCCGAAAUCUCGUCUUUUCGAAGGACGAUCUGCUACAAUGUUCAGUCUCUCGGAGAAUUUGUUUACCGAAAAUACAUACAUUUAUGUAUAUUUGUAUAAUUAAUGUAACAUACGCUAUUUGAAAGUGCUUCUGCUGAUUACACACAAAGAACAAAGUGACUCGCGACACCUUUCCUAUUGUUACUACUGGGGAGUCGCGGACAUGAAAUUAAGCAUCGCUACAGCUCCCUUCUUCUCUUCCAUUUUAUGUUUCCCAAAUUUCUAAAUUUAUGUAUAUUUAUAUAUAUGUAUAUAUAUAAAAAAAAACCAGCGUUCUUUAUGCACAGUACACCGUAUACAAGUCGACUUCCAUUACCACGCACCAGUUGGGGGAUUAAUAAUUUGCAUAGUUAAUUAUACAUAGUUCAAAUACAUUUACAUAUAUAGCUUUAUCGCGUAUUAUUCAAAAAUUCGUGUCAUUUGCACGUGAAUCAUAACAAUUUCGAUAUGGAUUACGUUAUAUCAAUCUUUUUUAUUCAUGCCUAUGUGAUACCUUUAACGAUGUUAUCUUUAUUCUCGACAGUGCUGUUAAAAAUUUGUUGGAAUUUCUUUUGCACGUAACUUUUAUAAG
Eufriesea mexicana is the source of this 2116-nucleotide long non-coding RNA. RefSeq lists it as uncharacterized. Lineage: Eukaryota; Metazoa; Arthropoda; Insecta; Hymenoptera; Apidae. The record is from RefSeq and is a predicted model, not a curated record. The transcript has 3 exons.